GACGAACGCUGGCGGCGUGCCUAAUACAUGCAAGUCGAGCGAGCUUGCCUAGAUGAAUUUGGUGCUUGCACCAAAUGAAACUAGAUACAAGCGAGCGGCGGACGGGUGAGUAACACGUGGGUAACCUGCCCAAGAGACUGGGAUAACACCUGGAAACAGAUGCUAAUACCGGAUAACAACACUAGACGCAUGUCUAGAGUUUAAAAGAUGGUUCUGCUAUCACUCUUGGAUGGACCUGCGGUGCAUUAGCUAGUUGGUAAGGUAACGGCUUACCAAGGCAAUGAUGCAUAGCCGAGUUGAGAGACUGAUCGGCCACAUUGGGACUGAGACACGGCCCAAACUCCUACGGGAGGCAGCAGUAGGGAAUCUUCCACAAUGGACGCAAGUCUGAUGGAGCAACGCCGCGUGAGUGAAGAAGGGUUUCGGCUCGUAAAGCUCUGUUGGUAGUGAAGAAAGAUAGAGGUAGUAACUGGCCUUUAUUUGACGGUAAUUACUUAGAAAGUCACGGCUAACUACGUGCCAGCAGCCGCGGUAAUACGUAGGUGGCAAGCGUUGUCCGGAUUUAUUGGGCGUAAAGCGAGUGCAGGCGGUUCAAUAAGUCUGAUGUGAAAGCCUUCGGCUCAACCGGAGAAUUGCAUCAGAAACUGUUGAACUUGAGUGCAGAAGAGGAGAGUGGAACUCCAUGUGUAGCGGUGGAAUGCGUAGAUAUAUGGAAGAACACCAGUGGCGAAGGCGGCUCUCUGGUCUGCAACUGACGCUGAGGCUCGAAAAGCUGGGUAGCGAACAGGAUAGAUACCCGGGUAGUCCAAGGCCGAAUUCCACUGUGGAUAUAAGCUUAUCGAUACCGUUGACCUCGAAUAGAAAACAAAUAACAAUUUUGUUUCCUUAG
This 889-nucleotide ribosomal RNA is filed under the name uncultured Lactobacillus sp. Its description in RNAcentral is "bacterial SSU rRNA". It matches the Rfam family "Bacterial small subunit ribosomal RNA". The record is from RNAcentral. Lineage: Bacteria; Bacillati; Bacillota; Bacilli; Lactobacillales; Lactobacillaceae.